CCUACGGGGAGCAGCAGUGGGGGAUAUUGCACAAUGGGGGAAACCCUGAUGCAGCGACGCCGCGUGGGCGAAGAAGUAUUUCGGUAUGUAAAGCCCUAUCAGCAGGGAAGAAGAAAUGACGGUACCUGAGUAAGAAGCACCGGCUAAAUACGUGCCAGCAGCCGCGGUAAUACGUAUGGUGCAAGCGUUAGCCGGAUGUACUGGGGGGAAAGGGAGCGCAGGCGGGAUGGCUAGCCUGAUGUGAAAGCCCGCGGCCGAACCGAGGGUACGCUUUGGGAACUGCCGGGUUGGAGUGCAGGAGGGGAAGGCGGAAUUCCUAGUGUAGCGGUGAAAUGCGGAGAUAUUAGGAGGAACACCAGUGGCGAAGGCGGCCUACUGGACGGUAACUGACGCUGAGGCUCGAAAGCGUGGGGAGCAAACAGGAUUAGAUACCCCUGUAGUC
RNAcentral lists this ribosomal RNA (442 nucleotides) under uncultured bacterium. RNAcentral's name for it is "partial 16S ribosomal RNA". It matches the Rfam family "Bacterial small subunit ribosomal RNA", at positions 338 to 795 of the family's 1533-position model. The record is from RNAcentral.